Long non-coding RNA from Crotalus tigris (Tiger rattlesnake), 412 nucleotides. RefSeq lists it as uncharacterized. Lineage: Eukaryota; Metazoa; Chordata; Lepidosauria; Squamata; Viperidae. The transcript has 4 exons. The record is from RefSeq and is a predicted model, not a curated record.
UGCAGUAUUCCAAGUGUGGCCUUACCAAGGCAUUGUAAAGUGGUAUUACAUUGUAAAGUGGUAUUAUUAAAUAGUUUUCAUGAUUUAAAUACUUUUAAAUUCCAAUACACAACUUAUAAUACUUGUGAUUCUUUUAGAUUACUACAACAGGCUCAUGUAGUAACAAAAAAGCCGUGCUUUUAUCCCAGGAAUUCCAUCACCAUGACCAUUGGUUUAGCCCUGCGGCUAGAAAAGAACAUAGCCAGCUUCAACUAUUACGAGAUAACCGAUCAGAAAGAGGACACAAGAAGAACAGUUCAGUAAAAACAGCCAGCAGACAGACAAGCGUCCAUUUAGGAUCCUUAUGUAUGGGUGAUAUCAAACGAAGAAGAAAAGCAGCACCAUUGCCAGGACCUGCUGGUAAGCAGAUUCA